Molecule: ribosomal RNA, 432 nt
Filed under: uncultured bacterium
Lineage: Bacteria
Description: partial 16S ribosomal RNA
Rfam family: Bacterial small subunit ribosomal RNA
Source: RNAcentral
ACGAACGCUGGCGGCAUGCCUCACACCUGCAAGUCGCACGCGACCUUCGGGUCUAGUGGCGCACGGGUGCGUAACGCGUGGGAACCUGCCCUUAGGUUCGGAAUAACUCCCCGAAAGGGGUGCUAAUACCGGAUAAUGUCUUCGGACCAAAGAUUUAUCGCCUUUGGAUGGGCCCGCGUUGGAUUAGCUAGUUGGUAGGGUAAAAGCCUACCAAGGCGACGAUCCAUAGCUGGUCUGAGAGGAUGAUCAGCCACACUGGGACUGAGACACGGCCCAGACUCCUACGGGAGGCAGCAGUGGGGAAUAUUGGACAAUGGGCGAAAGCCUGAUCCAGCAAUGCCGCGUGAGUGAUGAAGGCCUUAGGGUUGUAAAGCUCUUUUACCCGGGAUGAUAAUGACAGUACCGGGAGAAUAAGCUCCGGCUAACUCCGUG